AGGAGAUCAAGGGCGUGGAGACCAAACUUGAGAAAGCAAUUAGCAGAAUUAGAUCCAAGAAGGAUUGGAAGAUAUGUUCUCUUAAAAGAAAAGCAGUUACUCAAAGCUUAGUUGUGCAUAAAAAUAGAAGGGCAAAGGAGGCAUGGUGAAAAAGAAAAGGAGAGGAGAGAGGGAAAAGAAAGACGGGACGACAGGGAUUUUAACCAUGAUGGCAGAAGGGACUUCAACAUGCAGCGUUUUCCACACAAAUGGAAAUCCACUCGUAGAAGUGAA
Long non-coding RNA from Rosa chinensis, 273 nucleotides. RefSeq lists it as uncharacterized. The transcript has 3 exons. NCBI's taxonomy places the organism in Eukaryota, Viridiplantae, Streptophyta, Magnoliopsida, Rosales, Rosaceae. The record is from RefSeq and is a predicted model, not a curated record.